Molecule: ribosomal RNA, 253 nt
Filed under: uncultured bacterium
Lineage: Bacteria
Description: partial 16S ribosomal RNA
Rfam family: Bacterial small subunit ribosomal RNA
Source: RNAcentral
UACAGAGGUCUCAAGCGUUGUUCGGAUUCAUUGGGCGUAAAGGGUGCGUAGGCGGCGCGGUAAGUCGGGUGUGAAAUCUCGGAGCUUAACUCCGAAACUGCAUUCGAUACUGCCGUGCUUGAGGACUGGAGAGGAGACUGGAAUUUACGGUGUAGCGGUGAAAUGCGUAGAUAUCGUAAGGAAGACCAGUGGCGAAGGCGAGUCUCUGGACAGUUCCUGACGCUGAGGCACGAAGGCCAGGGGAGCAAACGGG